Non-coding RNA from Rattus norvegicus (Norway rat), 69 nucleotides. The record is from Rfam. Lineage: Eukaryota; Metazoa; Chordata; Mammalia; Rodentia; Muridae.
GGGGAUUUGGCUCAGUGGUAGAGCGCUUGCCUAGCAAGCGCAAGGCCCUGGGUUCGAUCCCCAACUCCG